AGGAAACACGAUGCUCCUCCUCAUACUGUGCAUGCAGCAUUCUUUUCCUGAGCCCAGCAGGUUGUACCUUGACCUCAUUCUGGCCGUCCUGGCCCUGGAACUGCUCUGCUCCGUGACCUGUCUGCUCAUUUAUGCAGUGAAAAUUAGAAAAUUUAAUAGAGCCAAACCACAGCCUGAUGUACUUGAAGAAGAAAAAAUCUAUGCUUACCACAGCAAUAUUACCUCGGAAACGGGAUUAAGCCUGGGGAGGUGAACUCAGGAGGCUUGGAUCCUGAAGGAGGAGGAGAUCCCCUUACCCAUAACUGCUGCAAAUGCUGGUCCACCAAGUUCUGGAAAUGCAGAUGACCAGUACCAUUAUCUGCACCAGCCUUCUGAUGCCCCUGUGGCUGGUGCCCCGUGGUGCAUUUAUGAAGGGAGCCCCAGCCUUACAACAGAUGCAUCUUGGGGAUUCUGGUCCUCCUUGGGCCUCCAUUCCCUAUGGCAUAGAACUCSUGAAAAUUCACACCUUACCUAGAAAACAUGAUCCCACCAGCCCAGAUAGGUCUCUCUUCCCAGAAUGCGUUGACUGAGGGGGUGUGGCUGGCAUUGAUCUUCUUAGUACCUUCUGACCCAGUCAUGGCUCCUGACAAAAGUUUGUUACCCAAAUCCAGACGAGUGGACAGAUAGUUCCAAACACCUUUCAUGGAUGGGAUCCAACCUACCCAGAGCAGAGCUCCAGGAUUUGUACUUUUAUGUAAGAUAAGCUACCUUUUUUUUUAAAACGGGGGUGUACUGGGGAUAGAUAGUGGUAAAGCAUCCCU
Non-coding RNA from Urocitellus parryii (Arctic ground squirrel), 800 nucleotides. NCBI's taxonomy places the organism in Eukaryota, Metazoa, Chordata, Mammalia, Rodentia, Sciuridae. The record is from RefSeq and is a predicted model, not a curated record.